UGACGUCCCAUUCAGGUACAAGAGAAGUCUCUCCACCAUGCGCCAGUGAUGAUCCUUUGGGACUUGCAUGUUGAACUGAAGAGAAGAUGGAGCUUGUACAAUAAUAGGGCAAGCUCUAGAAGAUGUCCAGAAGAGUUCAAUCAAGCUUCAGAAGUUAUUAGAAGCUGAUGCAAAGAAGAGACAAGAUCUAAGAAGUGUCUUGAAGGUGUAUACAAGACAUUGGAGGAGUUUGGGAGAUUAUGGUUGAUGGUGCAAAGAUAGGGAUCGGCCUGUACGGACGGACGUACGGAUGGUACGGACCGUACGGACAUGAUCAACCCAAAACUUAUCAGGUAGACCAUUUGAGCACAUUUGAGGAAUGUGCAAUCUUAGGGCACAAGGUGUACGGUCAUGACAUCCGUACAGCCAAGUCUGAUCAUGUCUUGGGAGACAAGGCAAGGAGAAGGGCGUGUGAGACUAUCCAAGGGAGAAAGAUCCAUUUGGUAUAUUCAAAGAUGCCUUAGGAAGCAACCAGGAAGGUGCCUUUCUCUCCAGCUCACACAGACCAAUCACAGCCAAGUAUUCAGUCCACAAGACAGCUCAUGACAGCCUGUAAAGGCCAGACUCGCCAAAGACUCCCAUUGGCCAAGCAUGUGAUGAUUCUGGUCCAUAGAAUUCAAAUGGGCGCUCCCCUUUAUGCUGACUUCACAUGCUUAGGUUAUCUGAUGAAUUCAGCCUCCAUUUAUGUAUUUAAGCUUCUUGUAAACAAUUGAAAACAUUAAGUGAGUAUGGGGGAUUUCCCCUCUCCUUCUCUAAUCUCUAAACACUUAUUCUCUUAGUCACUCAGUCUCUUAAUCUCAUUCUCUUUAGUCUCUUAAACACUUAAACACUCUCACCCAUCUCUGUUCUUAAAUCACCUAGAACUAAGCUCUCAUCUUUCUCCAUUGGAGUUUAUACACACAUACACACAACCAGAGUAGAGAUCUCUUUAAAAAUCAUAUGGUAUCAGAGCCAGGUUCAUUAGAACUUGGUUCUUGCUUCUGCUGAAGCUCAUAGCUCUCCUCCAUCUCGCUUGAAGCCAAGAAGAAGCUCCAUGGUCCAGCCGGCUGUUCUACUCUUCAAGAAGAAGGUGUGCUCAUCCAUGGUGUCCAGAAGCUGUCUCUGGCCGACCUACACUCUCUCAUGAAGCCCAUGAAGAAGAAAGAACCUUGGAAGCAAUGGUGUAUGAGGCGAUCUCAUCAACCAAGCUUCAAAGCUAUGUCCAAGCUAGGUCUUAUCCACUGUCCAAGAAGAAAGGUGAUAGCUUUCAGCUGGUACUGAUGUGGCGAACUCAACAUGAAGAAAGGUGGGGUCUUUGACAUGGAGAGUUCAAGAGAAAGGUCCAUGGGAGAAGGAGAAGUUGGAAUCGACACCAACAGCUCACUGUCUUGCCAUGUUCUAUGGAGUUUCAAGGAACUAACACUAGUUCCUUGGCUGUUCACAAAAGGUGUUCCUAGUUCAUCAUCAACUCCGAGUUUAAAGAGAAAGAAUGGUGUCCAUUGUGUGUGCAAUGGAGAAUUACUACAAGAAGGGUGAAGCGCAGAUGGUUGUGAAACCCACUUGAAGCUUACUGGUCUUCCUACUACCAUUGCAAGUAACUGAAGAAGAAGCCAACUGGGUCUAGGCAGUGGCGUGCCUAUUCAAGAGGGUGCUCAAACUAAGACAGGGCACUCUUGGCUGUGUGAAGAAGAAGGCUACUCUAUCAAGGCGGCUUCUAUUGUGAGGUGAUUGAAGAAGCAGCUGAAGCAUCCACAAGCAUUCCAUCAUGGUGGUGAAUUCAGAAGGGUGAUUGCAAUAAGAGAAGAAGAAGAAGUAAGGAUUCAAGUGGUAACAUUGAGAACCACUACUCAUCAUCUUAACCAAGGGAGUAAACCUAAUCUCAUCUAUCUUAAUAUGUCUUGAUAGGUUUAUCUCCUGACUAUACUAUGUGCUUUCCCUAAAUCCAUUAAGAGUUGAUAGCUUCUAGUAGAGUGUCUAGGCUAAUUGCACUGAAAUUGUUUUGCUGCUGCAUUAUCUUAUUGAUAGUAAGUAAUGUCUAGAGUCCCAGAAUCUCAUGGUCUGUUUAUUGCAUUAUCUUGGGUGUUGUCAUAAGCUUGAAUCAUCAUGAAUGUGUUGUAGAAUUGAGUAGAAUGUCUCUGCUACUUGCAUCAUGAUGGAUAAGUUAUUUUGCAUACAUAAGCAUAUCUCAUACUGUCUAAGUUCAAUCCUAGUGUUAUCUGGUGCUAGUGCCUAUGUUUAAUCCAUCAAUGAAAGUCUUGCAUCAAUUAGAAAUUGUCUAAGUUGCUUGCAUCAUUGGUUCUGAUUGAAACUGUUGUGCAUAGCUUUAAUAUAAAUCAUGGAUUGAACCUGUUGCAUUCAUAUAGCUAAUGCUUUAAGAUUGUGCAUUCAUGUAGUAAUGCAUUUAAAAAUGAGUCUAAAUUGCAAAUGUACUGAUGAAAGCUUGCAUUGAAUUUAGAGAACUUAAUAAUCAUAAUAACCUAGGAUGUCAAUAUAGUGUCUAGAACUUGCAUAGUCAUUGUUAGAGAUAUAAAUCUACUUGUCUUGACUUAGGCUGUUCUGAUUGUUGCUAUGCCAUAGUUAAAUCCAUCAGUGAUGUCUUACAAGCAUUUAGAAGUAUGUCUAAGCUACUUGAAUCAUUGGCUGUGAUAGAACUAGUGAGCAUAAGCAUGAAUUGAGUCAAACUUAUUGCCUUGAUUGCAUAAGUAUCAUCUAGUCUUGUGUUCAUUUGAAGUGAAUCUGUUUCAUUCAUAGUUAGUGUGUAACCUAAUGCAUUCAUCUAUUGUUGCAUUUAAAAAAAAAAACAAAACAAACUGAAUUGAACCUAAAAA
Brassica rapa (field mustard) is the source of this 2846-nucleotide long non-coding RNA. RefSeq lists it as uncharacterized. The record is from RefSeq and is a predicted model, not a curated record. NCBI's taxonomy places the organism in Eukaryota, Viridiplantae, Streptophyta, Magnoliopsida, Brassicales, Brassicaceae.